CGUCAGGAUCACAGAAAGUCAGCGUAAGAGAGAGAGAGAGAAAGUAAGCUGGGUAGCUUCUCAGCCAUCUGCCAAUAGCGUACCUUGUAUGAAAUCAACUGGGCAAACCAACUGAGGAAGCAUGUACCAGAAAUUAUAAGACCCAUUGUCCGCAGAAACCCGCGAAGCAGCGAAAAAUCUGCGAUAUAUAUUUAAAUAUGCUUACAUAUAAAAUCUGCGAUGGAGUGAAGCCGCGAAAGGCGAAGCGCGAUAUAGCGAGGGAUUACUGUAUACUUCUGGGAUAUUUAUCAGCACGUUGUGAAGCUGCACCAGUAAACUGCCCUUCUGCUUAUUGAAUCAUAUGCACAAAUAUGAGGCAUUCUUUCCACUUGAUUAUGUUUUCACUCCAUUUUCUUUAACUUUGAAUAUUUAAGUGUUCUCCUAUCUAAGCUCACAUUCUGCAAUGUUGAUAGCACUUUAAGUGCCAUAUGAGCCAAUGAAUGAGCUAUUGCUGGGCAGGACUCCUGAGCAAUGAACCAAUGAAUGGGGAAGAAAGACAAGUCUUCAACUGAAAAGAUGUUUGAAUGCACUUCUCCCUCAUGCAUAAGAGCAUUUUCACAUGGUGGUUUAUAUUGUGGGGAGGCACAGUGGCGCAGUGGUAGCAUUGCUGCCUCACAGUUAGGAGACCCGGGUUUGCAUGUUCUCCCCUUGUCUGCGUGGGUUUCCUCCAGGUGCUCUGGUUUCCUCCCACAGUCCAAAGACAUGCAGGUUAGGUGCAUUGGCAAUUCUAAAGUUGUCCCUAGUGUGUGCUUGAUGUGUGUGUGGUUGUGUGCGCCCUGCGGUGGGCUGGCGCCCUGCCCAGGGUUUGUUUCCUGCCUUGUGCCCUAUGUUGGCUGGGAUUGGCUCCAGCAGACCCCCGUGACCCUGUAGUUAGGAUAAAGCAGGUUGGAUAAUGGAUGGAUGGUUUAUAUUGUGGUUCGGCGGUGUAAGUACACACUGGAAUCAGUCAAAAGUUUGAGACGCCAACUGAGCUGUCCCUUUUAAUCGUCGCAAGACAAAAUAAACGAAAAGUAAAAGUAACAAAAAAAUGUGCCAAUGCACUUCUCCCAAUCAAGGUUUCCUCCUUCUUUGGAGUUUUAAGAAAGCCUCAUGCUCCGCCGUGCAGCUCGUUCGGGUCUUCUGGCAAAAGAUGCCUCUUUUUUAAUCGGUGCGUCUUUUAUAUUAAAACUUCCAGAAGGUGUGGGGCUAAGUGUCCUUACUGUGUGGAUUCUCGGAGAUGUGAGGGAAGAGGAAAAACAGGACAAAGUCAGCAGUAUCCCCCCCUCUCGUCUCGGCUGGUUAUUACAUACCUUUCACCACCUUUCUAAGAGAAGUCUGUCGACACUCAUGUAUGACAAUAUAAAGAAAAUUUCAGCCAGAUUACAUGGUUUUGGGAAAUUAGGGUUGCCAUUGAAAUCCCUUAUAUGAAGAAUUUUAUGAAAACAUAAAAUUGAAAGUUUUUGACGGAUAUCACACCAGAAAACAAGAGGUACAAAGCAGAAAGGAAGAUUAAUGUGCCUCCAGCUGUGACAAAACUUCCAGGGUCGCUCUACCAGGACCUGCACUUUCUCCCAGAGACCAUCAAAAACAGAAACGUAGCCAUUUUGGACAGACUAUAUGAGAAUAAGAAGUUGCAACAGUUUGUGCUUAAUGUGCAUUUCUUUUGCGCCUUUCAGUAUACAGGGUCUAACAAGUAAUUCACUCCAGACAUCAUAAAGGUUUAGGGCAGCCACCAGUAUAUUGUAUCCUGGCUGCAAAAGUUUUAAAUAAUUGAACAGAGAUUUUCACAAGACCGAGUCCAAAACAGAACUGUCAGACUGGAGGUAAACUGGCGGCUUUAAAGACCUGUUGAGGAAGUGAUGUAAUCGGGGCCCGAACUGGAAGUGACAUCAUCCAAGGUACUGGAACCUGGUGGGAUUUCCCGAGAAUAGUCUGCAAGGAACUAAGAAAGACAGUCAGCACAUCCUGACGCCCCCUGGUCUGAUGAGUGGCAUAUUUGGCAGGAUUCAGUACAUAACCCGAGGACAUCGAGGACUUGCUCCAGAGGAACCCACAAAACCCUCAGCAAGAGGCCACAAAUAUAGUUUAGUUAUGGUGGAUUAUGCUACCCGGUAUAUGGAAGCCAUCCCAUUGAAAGUGGCAAAUUCAAAAACCAUUGCACGGGAACUUCUUGGGGUCCCUAACAGAUCAAGGGACGCCAUUUACCUCAGAUAUAUUUGGGGAAGUGGCCAAAUUACUCCGUAUUAAGCAUUUGAAAAUCUUAGUAUAUCACCUCCAGAUGGAUGGUUCAGUACAGUGCUUUAAUCAAAUGCUCAAACAGAUGCUCCGUGAAGUGGUCAGCAAGUAUGGAAGGAAUUGGGAAGUUACUUCCCCUAAUGUUGACUGUCAACUGGGAGGUUCCGCCAGCUCCCAUGGGCUUCUCGUCAUUUCAAUUAUUAUAUGGACGACAACCCAGAGGCAUUUUGGACAUCUUAAAAGAAGGUUGGGGAGAGGAGGCCAACCAUUCAGUAAAUAUUCUAGAAUAUUUCACCCAGACCAAUGCUUCGGAAACAGGCUUGGGCGCUGUGUUGAGCCAAAGCAUCAAUGAUGUUGAAUACCCCAUGAUAUACCUAAGCUGGAAACUUUCGGAUCAGAAGAUGAGGUAUUCAGUGGUAGAAAGAGAAGUUCUGACAUCAAGUGGGCUAUUAACCAGCUAAGGUAUUCCCUCCUGGGAUGCAAUGGUUCACCCUGACGAACCAUUCCCCUUUACAGUGGAUGGCCCUGCACAGAGGUUCCAAUCCCUGUGUGACCAGGUGGUUUCUUGAACCUUAGCCUUUUCAGUUUAAAGUUCAGUAUCACCGGGGUACACUUCAUGCAAACACUGAAGCGCUGUCUUUUGUUUAUGACCUAACGGUACAAGUCGCCCGAUCUGAUGCAUCUUGGCUAAGGGAGGGUACUGUCACACGCAUGCACUUGGGGAGCAACUUAAGGGCUUGGAUAAUUACAUUACUCCCACGGAACACACGAGGGUGCUAAGCAAUAAUGAUUUUGU
Long non-coding RNA from Erpetoichthys calabaricus (reedfish), 3049 nucleotides. RefSeq lists it as uncharacterized. The record is from RefSeq and is a predicted model, not a curated record. The transcript has 5 exons. Lineage: Eukaryota; Metazoa; Chordata; Cladistia; Polypteriformes; Polypteridae.